GUCCACGCCCUAAACGAUGUCGACUGGUUGUUGGGGUUUGACACUCUCAGUAACGAAGCUAACGCGUGAAGUCGACCGCCUGGGGAGUACGGCCGCAAGGUUAAAACUCAAAGGAAUUGACGGGGACCCGCACAAGCGGUGGAUUAUGUGGAUUAAUUCGAUGCAACGCGAAAACCUUACCUACCCUUGACAUGUCCGGAAGGCUGCUGAAAGGCGGCUGUGCCCCGAAAGGGAACUGGAACACAGGUGCUGCAUGGCUGUCGU
Molecule: ribosomal RNA, 264 nt
Filed under: uncultured bacterium
Lineage: Bacteria
Description: partial 16S ribosomal RNA
Rfam family: Bacterial small subunit ribosomal RNA
Source: RNAcentral